UACGUAGGCAGCGAGCGUUGUUCGGAGUUACUGGGCGUAAAGGGUGUGUAGGCGGUUUCUUAAGUUUGGUGUGAAAUCUCCCGGCUUAACUGGAGGGUGCGCCGAAUACUGAGAGGCUCGAGUGCGGGAGAGGAGAGUGGAAUUCCUGGUGUAGCGGUAGUAAAUGCGCAGAUAGUCGGGAAGAACACCCGUGGCGAAGGCGGCACUCUGGGACGGUACUGACGCUGAGACGCGAAAGCGUGGGGAGCGAACAGG
This 255-nucleotide ribosomal RNA is filed under the name uncultured bacterium. RNAcentral's name for it is "partial 16S ribosomal RNA". It matches the Rfam family "Bacterial small subunit ribosomal RNA", at positions 524 to 776 of the family's 1533-position model. The record is from RNAcentral.